CGUGUAGGUGGGCUGGUCAGUCAGAUGUGAAAGUUCGCGGCUUAACCGCGGAACUGCAUUUGAAACUGCCAGUCUUGAGUGCGAGAGAGGGUAGUGGAAUUCUCAGUGUAGCGGUGAAAUGCGUAGAUAUUGGGAAGAACACCAGUAGCGAAGGCGGCUACCUGGCUCGCAACUGACGCUAAUGCGCGAAAGCGUGGGGAGCAAACA
RNAcentral lists this ribosomal RNA (207 nucleotides) under uncultured bacterium. Its description in RNAcentral is "partial 16S ribosomal RNA". It matches the Rfam family "Bacterial small subunit ribosomal RNA", at positions 568 to 774 of the family's 1533-position model. The record is from RNAcentral.